Molecule: ribosomal RNA, 457 nt
Filed under: uncultured bacterium
Lineage: Bacteria
Description: partial 16S ribosomal RNA
Rfam family: Bacterial small subunit ribosomal RNA
Source: RNAcentral
CUACGGGUCGCUGCAGUGAGGAAUUUUGGUCAAUGGGGGAAACCCUGAACCAGCGACGCCGCGUGUGGGAUGACGGGGCUUUGCCCUGUAAACCACUGUCAGAUGGGAAGAAAAGUUCCUUAUGGGAACCGGGACUGUACCAUCAGAGGAAGGGUCGGCUAACUACGUGCCAGCAGCCGCGGUAAUACGUAGGACCCGAGCGUUGUCCGGAUUUACUGGGUGUAAAGGGUGCGCAGGCGGGCUUGUUCGUCAGAGGUUAAAUACACCGGCUCAACCGGUGAACUGCCUUUGAUACGGCAAGUCUUGAGUAUGAGAGAGGAUGAUAGAAUUCCUGGUGUAGCGGUGAAAUGCGUAGAUAUCAGGAGGAAUACCAGUGGCGAAGGCGGUCAUCUGGCUCAUUACUGACGCUCAGGCACGAAAGCGUGGGGAGCAAACAGGAUUAGAUACCCGAGUAGUC